GAUGAACGCUAGCUACAGGCUUAACACAUGCAAGUCGAGGGGUAACGAGAGGGAAGCUUGCUUUCCUUGUCGACGACCGGCGCACGGGUGAGUAACGCGUAUCCAACCUGCCCCCAACUAGGGAAUAACCUUGCGAAAGUAAGACUAAUACCCUAUAAUUUCCUCAGAUGUCAUCUGACGAGGAAUAAAGAUUUAUCGGUUGUGGAUGGGGAUGCGUCUGAUUAGCUUGUUGGCGGGGUAACGGCCCACCGAGGCAACGAUCAGUAGGGGUUCUCAGAGGAAGGUCCCCCACAUUGGAACUGAGACACGGUCCAAACUCCUACGGGAGGCAGCAGUGAGGAAUAUUGGUCAAUGGGCGGAAGCCUGAACCAGCCAAGUAGCGUGCAGGAUGACGGCCCUAUGGGUUGUAAACUGCUUUUAUACAGGAAUAAAGUUAGCCACGUGUGGUUAUUUGUAGGUACUGUAUGAAUAAGGACCGGCUAAUUCCGUGCCAGCCGCCGCAGUAA
Molecule: ribosomal RNA, 506 nt
Filed under: uncultured bacterium
Lineage: Bacteria
Description: partial 16S ribosomal RNA
Rfam family: Bacterial small subunit ribosomal RNA
Source: RNAcentral